RNAcentral lists this ribosomal RNA (492 nucleotides) under uncultured bacterium. Its description in RNAcentral is "partial 16S ribosomal RNA". It matches the Rfam family "Bacterial small subunit ribosomal RNA", at positions 29 to 507 of the family's 1533-position model. The record is from RNAcentral.
AGUGAACGCUGGCGGUAGGCCUAACACAUGCAAGUCGAACGGCAGCACAGUAAGAGCUUGCUCUUACGGGUGGCGAGUGGCGGACGGGUGAGGAAUACAUCGGAAUCUACUUUUUCGUGGGGGAUAACGUAGGGAAACUUACGCUAAUACCGCAUACGACCUACGGGUGAAAGCAGGGGAUCUUCGGACCUUGCGCGAUUGAAUGAGCCGAUGUCGGAUUAGCUAGUUGGCGGGGUAAAGGCCCACCAAGGCGACGAUCCGUAGCUGGUCUGAGAGGAUGAUCGGCCACACUGGAACUGAGACACGGUCCAGACUCCUACGGGAGGCAGCAGUGGGGAAUAUUGGACAAUGGGCGCAAGCCUGAUCCAGCCAUACCGCGUGAGUGAAGAAGGCCUUCGGGUUGUAAAGCCCUUUUGUUGGGAAAGAAAAGCAGCAGGUUAAUACCCGGCUGUUCUGACGGUACCCAAUGAAUAAGCACCGGCUAACUUCGUG